Engraulis encrasicolus (European anchovy) is the source of this 485-nucleotide long non-coding RNA. RefSeq lists it as uncharacterized. The transcript is spliced from 5 exons. Lineage: Eukaryota; Metazoa; Chordata; Actinopteri; Clupeiformes; Engraulidae. The record is from RefSeq and is a predicted model, not a curated record.
CUGGUGCCCCUGCUAUGAGCAAAGGAGUCUGGGUCGUGCUGGUGAUCCUAGUGAUGGUGGUGCUGGCAGUCGUCGUAGGAGCCUAUGCCAGUGAGGCACAAGUAGGAGACAUGGAAGAAAGGCUAACCUACGUAAGCUAUAAAAUCUUCAAAAAGGCAAACGACUUUCAGUGUGAUGAGAGCAUUGCAGUCUACAGCGUGGUUAAAAACUGAGAAUGCAGAAUGCAAGGAGGAAGGGUCUUCCAGAUGAAGAGACAAACAAAAGCUGUAUGAACCUGAACGACAAAGAGAAAGUUGUGCUGCACAGUAGAUAGGCAUCUUAAAUGCAUUUGCUUUGAAGACCUGUGUACAGAAAUGUCUGGGUAACCAUAGUGUUGGUGUUGAUGUUUGAUGCUUAAUGCUUUGAUACUUAAUCCAUUUUUAUGUUUAUGCUUGUGCUCAAGGUAAUGAGCUUCCCUGUACUGAUGUACUGUAUGUUCAUGUAAC